Molecule: transfer RNA, 76 nt
Filed under: Treponema pectinovorum
Lineage: Bacteria; Pseudomonadati; Spirochaetota; Spirochaetia; Treponematales; Treponemataceae
Also listed under: 5 other names
Description: tRNA-Ile
Rfam family: tRNA
About the family: Transfer RNA (tRNA) molecules are approximately 80 nucleotides in length. Their secondary structure includes four short double-helical elements and three loops (D, anti-codon, and T loops).
Source: RNAcentral
GGGCCAUUAGCUAAGCUGGUUGUAGCGCCGGCCUUAUAAGCCGGGUCUUACCCAAGUUCAAGUCUUGGAUGGCCCA